UGUCGGGUUGAUAACUAGGCGGUGGUUUCAAAAUUCCUCGACGACCUUUGCCCUUUAAGUGCCCGAGAGAUUGAAAGUCAUCGCGCGGUUGAUCUUACACAUUUGCUUUCUUUUGUCCAUGUCUGUUUAUGUUUAUUCGAUCGCGACAUCC
Molecule: small nucleolar RNA, 151 nt
Filed under: Rhinocladiella mackenziei CBS 650.93
Lineage: Eukaryota; Fungi; Ascomycota; Eurotiomycetes; Chaetothyriales; Herpotrichiellaceae
Source: RNAcentral